GACGAACGCUGGCGGCGUGCUUAACACAUGCAAGUCGAGCGAGGCCCUUCCUUCGGGAAGGUGUCCUAGCGGCGAACGGGUGAGUAACACGUGGGCAAUCUGCCCUCAGCUUUGGGAUAACUCCGGGAAACCGGAGCUAAUACCGAAUACGACCACUGGUGGCAUCUCCUAGUGGUGGAAAGAUUUAUCGGCUGAGGAUGAGCCCGCGGCCUAUCAGCUAGUUGGUGGGGUAAUAGCCCACCAAGGCAACGACGGGUAGCCGGCCUGAGAGGGCGAC
This 277-nucleotide ribosomal RNA is filed under the name uncultured bacterium. RNAcentral describes it as "partial 16S ribosomal RNA". It matches the Rfam family "Bacterial small subunit ribosomal RNA", at positions 28 to 304 of the family's 1533-position model. The record is from RNAcentral.